AGGACGAACGCUGGCGGCGUGCUUAACACAUGCAAGUCGAGCGGAAAGGCCCUUCGGGGUACUCGAGCGGCGAACGGGUGAGUAACACGUGAGUAACCUGCCCUAGGCUUUGGGAUAACCCUCGGAAACGGGGGCUAAUACUGGAUAUUCCCGCGGGAUCGCAUGGUUUUGUGGGGAAAGGUUUUCCGGCUUGGGAUGGGCUCGCGGCCUAUCAGCUUGUUGGUGGGGUGAUGGCCUACCAAGGCGACGACGGGUAGCCGGCCUGAGAGGGUGACCGGCCACACUGGGACUGAGACACGGCCCAGACUCCUACGGGAGGCAGCAGUGGGGAAUAUUGGACAAUGGGCGAAAGCCUGAUCCAGCAACGCCGCGUGAGGGAUGACGGCCUUCGGGUUGUAAACCGUCUUUCAGCAGGGACGAAGCGAAAGUGACGGUACCUGCAGAAGAAGCACCGGCCAACUACGUGCCAGCAGCCGC
This 477-nucleotide ribosomal RNA is filed under the name uncultured bacterium. RNAcentral's name for it is "SSU rRNA". It matches the Rfam family "Bacterial small subunit ribosomal RNA", at positions 26 to 518 of the family's 1533-position model. The record is from RNAcentral.